Ruditapes philippinarum (Manila clam) is the source of this 805-nucleotide long non-coding RNA. RefSeq lists it as uncharacterized. NCBI's taxonomy places the organism in Eukaryota, Metazoa, Mollusca, Bivalvia, Venerida, Veneridae. The record is from RefSeq and is a predicted model, not a curated record. The transcript is spliced from 3 exons.
UUACUUUCACUUUCGAUUUUCCACUUCCGGGUACAACGGCAGACAUAUUUACCAUUACGCAUAUAGGUAACCCCGAAGAACUCGAGAGAUAUAGAAGUUAAAUUUGUUUCGAACCUCUUCAGAUUGUCAGGAAUGGAAAGCACGGGUAAAAAUAUGCAGAUGUGUAGACAGGGAGGUAUAUGACAAGUAUGUUCACUAUGGACCAUUUAUCAACUGUUUCCACUGCCUAUGAUCCUGAAAUAUCUAUUCAUCAAAGAUAACAAGGAAAAGAUGAAGGAAAAUUUGUCCAGGAAGAACUUUAUUGCAUCUACCAUCUUCCAGUUCCUUAAUUUGAGAAUAAUAUCAGAGAACACACAGUUACAGAAAACACACCAGAGAUAAAGAUUUUCAUGGAAUCACAUUAAAUGACUAUGAUGUAAAGAUGAAAAAGAAAACAAAAUAGCAAAAAUAUUAUAUAUCAUCUACUUCUAAUAUUGUUAGUGUAAUCAUUGAUAAGCUUACAAAUUUGCAUUCAAAGCUUUGAUACCAAGCUGACCAUUUUUCAAUUAGAAUAUGAUUUAUAACUCCAUGAUAAUUUGUUCAUGUAAAUUUUCAAAGUCUUUACUUUUGUAAAAGGAAAUAUGCCAAUUCUUGUAUCAGUAGACAUUCACAGUGUAAAGUCACAUUGUCCAAAUAACUAAUAAUAAUUUCAAGUGCUUUCCUGAAGUUUUUUUCCACUGGAAAAUCAGUGUGAUAUAUUUGCAAAGCAGUGGACUAUAAUUUGUGUAAAAAUAAAAGUUUAUCAAACUUUUAAACUGUUUUUUGU